RNAcentral lists this ribosomal RNA (852 nucleotides) under uncultured Planctomycetota bacterium. RNAcentral's name for it is "bacterial SSU rRNA". It matches the Rfam family "Bacterial small subunit ribosomal RNA", at positions 83 to 920 of the family's 1533-position model. Lineage: Bacteria; Pseudomonadati; Planctomycetota. The record is from RNAcentral.
CGGGCGAGUAAAGUGGCGCAAGGGUGAGUAACACGUAACCAACGUACCCCUCAGAUCGGGAUAACCACUGGAAACGGUGGGUAAGACCGGAUGGUCCGCGGAGUGGCAUCACUCCGACGGUAAACGGUGGCUUCGGCUGCUGUUGAGGGAGCGGGUUACGGCCUAUCAGCUUGUUGGAGGGGUAACGGCCCACCAAGGCAAUGACGGGUAGCGGGUCUGAGAGGAUGGUCCGUCACACUGGGACUGAGACACUGCCCAGACUCCUACGGGAGGCUGCAGUCGAGAAUCUUCCACAAUGGGCGAAAGCCUGAUGGAGCGACGCUGCGUGCAGGAUGAAGGCCUUAGGGUUGUAAACUGCUGUCACGCUAUAGGAACCCGUGUCGGUUAAUACCCGGCGCGCUGACUAAAGCGAAAGGAAGUGCCGGCUAACUCCGUGCCAGCAGCCGCGGUAAUACGGAGGGCGCAAGCGUUGUUCGGAAUCACUGGGCAUAAAGAGCACGUAGGCUGUCUACUCAGUCGGAUGUGAAAUCCCCCGGCUCAACCGGGGAACUGCAUACGAUACUAGUAGACUAGAGGACAGGAGGGGUGAGUGGAACUCCAGGUGGAACGGUGAAAUGUGUAGAUAUCUGGAGGAACACCGGUGGCGAAGGCGGCUCACUGGCCUGUUUCUGACGCUGAGGUGCGAAAGCUAGGGUAGCGAACGGGAUUAGAUACCCCGGUAGUCCUAGCCGUAAACGAUGGGCACUAGGCAAUGGGUUUUCCCUAUGGGACUCAUUGCCGUAGCUAAUGUGUUAAGUGCCCCGCCUGGGGAGUACGCUCGCAAGGGUAAAACUCAAAGGAAUUGACGGGGGA